UGCAGUCGGGCGGUAACAGGGGAAGCUUGCUUCCUGCUGACGAGCGGCNGANNGGUGAGUAAUGCAUAGGAAUCUGCCUGAUAGUGGGGGAUAGCCCAGAGAAAUUUGGAUUAAUACCGCAUACGCCCUACGGGGGAAAGCUGGGGACCUUCGGGCCUAGCGCUAUCAGAUGAGCCUAUGUCGGAUUAGCUAGUUGGUGAGG
Molecule: ribosomal RNA, 202 nt
Filed under: uncultured bacterium
Lineage: Bacteria
Description: partial 16S small subunit ribosomal RNA
Rfam family: Bacterial small subunit ribosomal RNA
Source: RNAcentral